RNAcentral lists this long non-coding RNA (371 nucleotides) under Medicago truncatula (barrel medic). Its description in RNAcentral is "lncRNA gene10857". Lineage: Eukaryota; Viridiplantae; Streptophyta; Magnoliopsida; Fabales; Fabaceae. The record is from RNAcentral.
UUUUUUUUUUUUUUUUUAUUGAAACAGGUUGAAGAAGCUGAGCCAAACCAUAAUUUGAUCCAAUUUUGUUUGCUUUAUUAACCAUACACACCCCUGAUUAUAUUUACCUAUAGCACAAAAGUCAUGCUUAAUAAUAUAUAUUGGUGUGGAGCAGGAGUAGUUUGUAAAAAAUCAAACAAUACAAUUACAAGUUUGCACAUAAGGUGCCAUCUUUCAAUGAAUAUAUGGUCGGUAUAAGUAAAUCUUUCAGUGGGACACAACUUUUAGUACAUUUUAGAUACACUCAGUCUAGCAAACUUUACAACUCUUGAAGUGAAUAUUACCAGUCAUCUGCAACAUUUGUCGCUCCAAGAACAAUCGCAACUGUAGCC